CUGGGGCCAUUCUGGGGCCGUUUGUUGCCAUUUUAGGGCCGUUUAUUGCCAUUUUGGGGUCAUUUGGGGCCAUUUUAAGGCCAUUUGUUGCCAUUUGAGGCCGCUUAUUGCCAUUUGGUGCCCCCCGGGGCCAUUUUGGGGCCGUUUGUUGCCAUUUGGGGUCCCCUGGGGCCAUUUUGGGGCCGUUUUUUGUCACUUUAGGGCCGUUUGGUGCCGUUUGGGGCCAUUUUGGGGCCGUUUGUUGCCAUUUUGGGGCCGUUUGUUGCCAUUUGGGGGCCGUUUGUUGCCAUUUUGGGGUCAUUUGGGGCCAUUUUGGGGCCGUUUGUUGCCAUUUGGGGUCAUUUUGGGACC
This 351-nucleotide long non-coding RNA is filed under the name Anas platyrhynchos platyrhynchos (common mallard). RNAcentral's name for it is "lncRNA (ENSAPLG00000028623.1)". The record is from RNAcentral. Lineage: Eukaryota; Metazoa; Chordata; Aves; Anseriformes; Anatidae.